Molecule: long non-coding RNA, 5414 nt
Filed under: Mytilus galloprovincialis (Mediterranean mussel)
Lineage: Eukaryota; Metazoa; Mollusca; Bivalvia; Mytilida; Mytilidae
Source: RNAcentral
CGUGUAUAGUCACUUUCAGGAUCAGGUAUUUAAAUUCACAGUCAUCGGGUGGUAGUCGGCUAGAUCUAACCGGUAAGUUUUCUCUAAAUUUAUACAAUCAUUAUUUUUAUUAACGGAAUUAUAUUUUUACAUUAAAAAUAAAUCGUGAGCUAUUGAUUACCACUAGCAAACUAUUAUAGUCUUUGAAAAUCUGAGAUCUACGACUCCUUAAAAUUGGCUUAAUGCUUUGCAAAAUUCAAUGAAACUCAAUCUGUGAGACAAUAAUGGAAAUGAGUCUUAAAAAGUAAAGAUGCUAUCUUACUCUGUUGUAAUAUUUUAAGCUUUAGCAUUUUUAUAAGUUGGCUACAUAAUUUUGUAGUAAAAGCAUUGCAAACAGUUAACACUACAAACUUCCACCAUUAUCAUCAUCAAUUGUAUUGUAUUAUAUGACUGUUACCAUAUACGAAAAUGGGAGAUGUAUUUUGGCUUUUUAAAAAUAUAUGAGAUUCUAAGAAACAAAGGUAGAAAGUAAGCAUAUUACAAAAGUAACUAUUGUCUAAUUAAUUACCAUUGCCAGUGGUAUAAAUGGAAUUUGCUAGAUAAGAUAAAAUGUAUACAGCUAAUAAACAGUGAAAAGCAAUACUAAUAUCAGCAAAACUUGAUGUAACAACUUUGCAUGGACUGUCUUGUUUAUGUAAAGUAUAAUUUGAAGUGUGCUGCAUAACCAAAUGCAUAUUUAAACAAGUAAUCAGUCAUUUUCUCUUACUUGAUCAAGUUUUUACUUUUGUAGUAUUAUGAUUAUAGUCAAAUAUGCAUCUGUGAAGCAUAUGAUUUUUAAGAAUUUUAAUCGUAUUCGAAUAUAAUUUUGUUUGUAAGAAAGCAGCUAUUCAAAAGCAAGUUCAAUUUAACAGCGUAUUAUUUCAAUGAUUCUACAAAUAUUUGAUAUUGGAAAUAUUUGUUGAAAGGAAGGAAAACCGGUUUUUAGGAUUUAAUAGACAUUUAAAAUUUUGUUCCAGCUCAAUGAGUUUGCUCUAUUUUAGUUUCACUGACCAGAAUGCUGACAAAUCAAUUAAAAUUUAUUUGAACUGUGUCAUUCAAUAUGUAUAUUUAAAUCUCAUUACAUCAGAAGAAAACACAGAAUAACCUCCAAAUAACUAUGUUAUAUCAUUAACAAGGUAUACUCGUUUCUUAGAUGCGUAUGGCUGGGUAUCAGAUACUACCGGCAUGAGAUGGGAGUGUCUGUAAAGUAUUGCCUUUAUGUGCAUGUAUUUCAACAUUAACUAAUUAAAUACAAUCUGAGCAGGCAUUGCUAUAAAAAAAUAUUAUUAACUUCAAUUGUAUUCGUGCUUGUGGCCAUUAUGAUUAAACGGGAGUUUGAUUUUUUUAUUUCCUCUAUUAGUUGAAAACUACACUUAUCAUGUACGAUGAUGUGUUAUGGCUAGAAACUUUAAUAUUUUGAAUAUAUCAGCAAAUUGGAAAUCUUUAAUGCAAUAGUUUUUAAAGAGAUGUAAGGCUGAAUAUCAAUAAAUGUAAAGGUAUGUUGUGGGCAGGCUGGUUGUUUCUGAUUUUGUAUUUUGUUACUGAAAUACUCAAAGCCUACGUCGUACUCAGUAUUUUAACUCAAGCAGCAAAAAGAGCCAUACAUAAAUAUGUUUGAUCUUUUGACCCAAUAUACAUGUAUCUCGAAAUCCAUAGACACACCAAGACCCGUACUCGGCAUUUUUCCUUCACGUUUCUAAAAAUAAAGCCAUUUUACAUGAGUACUUUUUUUUUAUCUUUUUACUCAAAAUAUCCCAGAAGUCAAUGAACAAACAUAUGUAAAGGCAAACUUAGUUAUAAAACCAAUCCAGUAACACAUCAAACUUGUCUAAAAGUAUGCAUGAAAACCAGAUUGAAAUAUCUUAAAAAGGGAAUUUCUGUUAUUGAAUGCAAUGCUAAACAUUUUUUCUCUGAAGCUCUAUUAACUGCUAAAGAUAUAAAUCAUGUCUUUUUCUAACACCGCAUUGUAAGUAUUUUUUGGACAUGCUGUGUUUUAUUUUUUUUUAUCAUUAAAUUGCAGAAAUGAAUAAAUGCUAGAUAUAUAGUACUUAAGUAUUUGUUAUUUGUAUUUUAUUGAAUAAGUCGACAGUGAAAUAGAUAGUUAACUUAUUUUGAAUGAAUAUGAAUAAAAGCAAUCGAAUAUAUACCGGUUAUUUAUCAAAAGUAAAUUUAUUGUACUUUUAGUAUUACUCCCUACUAUGUGUGUACUGUUAAAGUUAAGAAUACAUGUCUCGAUAUGUCUCAAAAAUCUUUUGCCUCAUUGUCACGGUAGGUGUACAAAAAUGACCAACGUUAAUGUUAGGAUAAUCAAAAAUACAAAUGUUAAGGUAUCUUCUUAUUUGAAUUGUCUUUUUUAAAUCAUUAAAGCUGGCCAGAAUUGAAAUUGAAUAAGUUUGUUCACAUGAUUUUGUGGUACUAGACAUAGGAAGAUAAAUUUUAAAUAAUAACCACCUUACCUUGAAUUUCACUUCUAGGUCUAACCAUGAGUGUAAUUGGUAAUUUUCGGGCUUGAACGUGUGUUUUUUAACUUCCAGUUCAACACUAGAGUCCACUUUUGAAUUAAAAUGAAAAAAACAACCUAGCAUAUGUAAUGUUCAACGCUUUAUAAUUUUGAUCACCACUUACAAACAUUAAGAGACUGAAAACCGUAUCUGUUUCAUUCGGUUAUACAACUAGUGCAUGUAUAAAGAAUGUACCAAACACAACACAAUUUGAGACAUAAAAUAACCGUAUAUUUAUCAUUGCAAUAAAAAAAAGUAUUUUAAAUAACUUUAAAAAAAAAAGUUUCGAUAUUGCUGAAAUGUAACUAGCUAAUAAGCUAUACAUAUGUAAUCAGGAGUCUGUAUUUCUGUGGUUACCGUGUGUUGCUGUAUAUCAGAAUUAGUAUCGUUUAUUGUCUUGUAAACAUAUAUAGUUUGCUCUCUCGAAUUGUUAAAGCAUUUGUCAUUUCGGGGCGUUUUCAGGCAAAGCUAACUAAGGGUUUGGUCAUUGCUGAAAUCCUUAUAUUGACCUUGAAAUGUUUACUUCUACUUUAUUUGGUCUCUGGUGGAGAGUUGUUUAAUUCAGUGGCAAUCAUACCAUUUCAUCUUAUAUAUAUGGUUUAAAUCAAGUUUUUUAUAUAGAUUAGACCGUUGUUUUUCCACCUUUGAAUGGGUUGACACCAUACAUUUUUGUGACCCUUUAUAUCUUUCUGUUCGAUGUGAGCCAAGGCUACGUGUUGAAUAUCGUACCUUUUCUUUUACAAAUUGUGACUUGGAUGGAAAGUUGUCUCAUUGGCACUCAUACGGUCAUACAACAUCUUCUUAUUUCUACAAAUGUAUUAUGUAUAGACAAAUAUGUUAGCUAAACAUCAAUGAGACAGCACCAAAACGACACAAGCAAAUAAUAACUGGUUAUAGUCUGUUCAUUUUAUAGGCGUAUUUACGAUUUCAAAUUCAGAAGGAAAUAACUUCCUACAAAAGUAAACUAAGCUUAACUGUGAAUUCAGAAGUUGAUAGUUUGCUGUCAAUUGGUCCACUGUCUCCAGGUGAAAAAGUAGCGAUUUGAGUUAUGUGUCGCAAUUUAGUGUAAAAUGUGCUGUAGUGUCGAGUUUAAUAUUUCCUUUAUGACAAACAAAUCAAUUAGAACAGAUUGUAAUACGCCGGGAUUAAUACAAAUAAUUAUUCACAUGUUUUAUCAAACAACAGUAAAAGAUGAAAGAAUUUAUAGACGAUAAUCAAUAGCCAAUACAAGCAGAAUUAUUAGCUUCACUGUAACUUAAUGAUUAUAUACAAUGUAUAUAUUUACCAUGUUUUAUUAUUUUUUUAUUUCGUGAAACUAUGUUAAUUCACCAAAAUCAUUGGAGUUUAAACAUCUAGUUUUCAUUGUUUAUUAUUAUAGUUAUCAAUUACUUGUCUUAAAUGUCCCAGACUUUCAUUGAUACUCUAUUUACUACUAUAUAUUGAUUGUGUCCAGUGCUUAAAUAAAGUGCUUGCUUUCAUAUUGAAUCUAGCCCCAGGGUCAAACUAUAAUGGCUUUUAACCAUACAUUAUGUAUGGAGGCGUAUAUAUAUAUAAGUGCCUCUUCACUAUAUUCUCCAUGUUACGUCUUAAGUUAAAUAUCGGCAAACCAUGUGACCUUUAACGAAUGAGAAAAAAGAUGUGUAAUCAAUAUAUAUUUUUUUAUUCGAAUGGGGAAAAAAAUCUAGAGCUUUGAACUGAUUAUAUGUCACACACACAAAAAAAGUAUUAUUUUGUUCGCUCUUCUAAAAAAAAAAAAACAGGUUGACAGUCACUCAUCUUAACAAACUUCAAUCAUAAUAAGUGACAAAUUUCUAAUGUAUUGACCUUUGGGGUAUUUUCAGUAUUUGUAUUUUCUUAAGUACUUAUACCUUCCAUUUUAAAAAUUUAUACGUUUGAAACAUGUUUGCGGACAUUUAACGCCCCAUAGAACUGGUUCUGAAAGUAACGGUGGGCGUUGUUGAAUAGAGUAAGACAGAUUUCUGUUUUGGUAAACGGAGUCGGAUUUCUAUAUAAUUAAUUUUAAAGCGGUGAAUAACAAAGUUAUAUUAGUUGGUUUUCUUCUGACACCAAAAUGUAUUAAUCAAUUAUAAUCACUCAAUACAGAAGCCAAAAAUUGGGACGUUUAUAUCUUAUUAAAGGCUCAUUUAUACAUACAAAAAUCUCGUGUUUAACUGAUUCGUCAGAUUUUCCCUCGAUACCCACAUGUACGAAUCAAUUUUAGUUACACAUACACAAGUAAAACAAAUUGGGACGUUUAUUUUAUAUUAAGUGCUCAUUAUGCACAAAUCAAUCUCGUCUUUAACUGAAUUAAAGUUUACGUCCAUCUAAACAUUGCAUGGCAAUUUUAGGUUCCCAUCUGUUGUAGAGUUGUCACUGGUUCAGACAUACUUAUAAAUAUAAUUAUUUCUGUGACUGUAUCUUACAUUAAUUUGUAGGAUCCUUUACUAUAGAUCAUUUAGCUGAUCUGUAAAAAUAACAUCUUCAUAUCAUGUACUGUAGUACGACGCUAGAUUAAAACUGACGUGGAAAGGUAACACCCGGUCACCGAAAGCUUCAUUUUUGAAGCCCAGGUGGUCGUGUGGUCUAGCGCGCCGGUUACAGUGCAGGCGAUUUGGUGUAACGAUAUCUCAGUAGCAUGGGUUCGAAUCCGGGCGAGGGAAGAACAAAAAAUUUGCGAAAGCAAGUUUACAGAUCUAACAUUGUUGGGUUGAUGUUUAGACGAGUUGUAUAUGUAUAUAUAUAUAUGUAUUACUACUUUUUAGGUUAAAGUGCUGCAAAAGAAAGAGGUCAGAAAUUGUCAUUUUCGAUAGUCUGACAAAAUGGUGUGCACUACAAAGAUGGUGCUGCCACUGGUAGUGUUGAUAGGGAUCUUCUUACAACCAACGUAUGCCCAAG